GCAGUGGUAGGUCAGUGGUAGAAUUCUUGCCUUCCAUGCAGGAUACUCCGGUUUAAUUCCUGGUCAGUGUG
RNAcentral lists this transfer RNA (71 nucleotides) under Loxodonta africana (African savanna elephant). It matches the Rfam family "tRNA". Rfam says of the family: Transfer RNA (tRNA) molecules are approximately 80 nucleotides in length. Their secondary structure includes four short double-helical elements and three loops (D, anti-codon, and T loops). Further hydrogen bonds mediate the characteristic L-shaped molecular structure. tRNAs have two regions of fundamental functional importance: the anti-codon, which is responsible for specific mRNA codon recognition, and the 3' end, to which the tRNAs corresponding amino acid is attached (by aminoacyl-tRNA synthetases). tRNAs cope with the degeneracy of the genetic code in two manners: having more than one tRNA (with a specific anti-codon) for a particular amino acid; and 'wobble' base-pairing, i.e. permitting non-standard base-pairing at the 3rd anti-codon position. Lineage: Eukaryota; Metazoa; Chordata; Mammalia; Proboscidea; Elephantidae. The record is from Rfam by way of RNAcentral.